Molecule: ribosomal RNA, 559 nt
Filed under: Bacillus halotolerans
Lineage: Bacteria; Bacillati; Bacillota; Bacilli; Caryophanales; Bacillaceae
Description: bacterial SSU rRNA
Rfam family: Bacterial small subunit ribosomal RNA
Source: RNAcentral
CGGCAGUGGCGGGGUACCUAUACAUGCAGUCGAGCGGACACAUGGAGAGCUUGCUCCCUGGAUGGUUAGCGGCGGACGGGGUGAGUAACACGUGGGUAACCUGCCUGUAAGACUGGGAUAACUCCCGGAAACCGGGGCUAAUACCGGAUGCUUGUUUGAACCGCAUGGUUCAAACAUAACAGGUGGCUUCGGCUACCACUUACCCAUGGACCCGCGGCGCAUUAGCUAGGUGGUGAGGUAAUGGCUCACCAAGGCCACGAUGCGUAGCCAACCUGAGAGGGUGAUCGGCCACACUGAGACUGAGACACGGCCCCACUCCUACGGGAGGCAGAAUAUUGGAAUCUUCCGCAAUGGACGAAAGUCUGACGGAGCAACGCCGCGUGAGUGAUGAAGGUUUUCGGAUCGUAAAGCUCUGUUGUUAGGGAAGAACGAGUACCGUUCGAAUAGGGCGGUACCUUGACGGUACCUAACCAGAAAGCCACGGCUAACUACGUGCCAGCAGCCGCGGUAAUACGUACGUGGCAAGCGUUGUCCGGAAUUAUUGGGCGUAAAGGGCUCG